This is a non-coding RNA of Conger conger (European conger), 212 nucleotides long. Lineage: Eukaryota; Metazoa; Chordata; Actinopteri; Anguilliformes; Congridae. The record is from RefSeq and is a predicted model, not a curated record.
CUUGCGGUCCUGUGAUGUUGCUUCAGCGAUUGAAGUUUGUUUGGGGCGGAUCAGGACUGCGUAAAGUAAAUGAAGGAAGCUAAGGCGUGGCUACUUGAGUUCCUGUAGUUACACGUGCGAUGUUCUUUCCACAAUAACCUUCACGGCCUGUUUCCGUGGUGGUGGCGAACUGUUGUGUACGUCACCUAUCGAAAAACAGGCGUACUAAAGAU